This 662-nucleotide ribosomal RNA is filed under the name uncultured eukaryote. Its description in RNAcentral is "bacterial SSU rRNA". It matches the Rfam family "Eukaryotic small subunit ribosomal RNA", at positions 1038 to 1717 of the family's 1831-position model. The record is from RNAcentral.
GAUGACGACCAGUCAUCCGACGGCGUUAAUUAACGACCCGUCUGGCAACUCCCGGGAAACCAAAGUUUUUCGGUUCCGGGGGAAGUAUGGUUGCAAAGCUGAAACUUAAAGGAAUUGACGGAAGGGCACCACCAGGAGUGGAGCCUGCGGCUUAAUUUGACUCAACACGGGAAAACUUACCCGGCCCGGACACUGGAAGGAUUGACAGAUUGAGAGCUCUUUCUUGAUUCAGUGGGUGGUGGUGCAUGGCCGUUCUUAGUUGGUGGAGCGAUUUGUCUGGUUAAUUCCGAUAACGAACGAGACUCUAGCCUACUAAAUAGACCAGAGGCCUCUUAAAACACGUCUCUGGCUGCUUCUUAGAGGGACAGGCGGCGGUUCAGCCGCACGAAACAGAGCAAUAACAGGUCUGUGAUGCCCUUAGAUGUCCGGGGCUGCACGCGCGCUACACUGAAAGAAUCAGUGGGCGUUAAACCUAGUUCGGAAGAACCGGGUAACCCAAGUAAAUUCUUUCGUGCUUGGGAUAGGGAAUUGCAAUUAUUUCCCUUAAACGAGGAAUUCCCAGUAAAUUCGGGUCAUAAGCUCGAGUUGAUUACGUCCCUGCCCUUUGUACACACCGCCCGUCGCUACUGCCGAUUGGAUGACUUAGUGAGGUCUUAGGACCG